UACCAGCACCCCCGAGUGGUCGGGACGUUUUAUUGGGGCCUAAAGCAUCCGUAGCCGGUUCUACAAGUCUUCCGUUAAAAUCCAGCUGCUUAACAGAUGGGCUGCGGAAGAUACUAUGGAGCUAGGAGGCGGGAGAGGCAAGCGGUACUCGAUGGGUAGGGGUAAAAUCCGUUGAUCCAUUGAAGACCACCAGUGGCGAAGGCGGCUUGCCAGAACGCGCUCGACGGUGAGGGAUGAAAGCUGGGGGGAGCAAACCGG
This 258-nucleotide ribosomal RNA is filed under the name uncultured bacterium. Its description in RNAcentral is "partial 16S ribosomal RNA". It matches the Rfam family "Archaeal small subunit ribosomal RNA", at positions 474 to 727 of the family's 1478-position model. The record is from RNAcentral.